GCCACUGCCAUGCCACCCUGAACGUGCCCGAUGUGGUCUGAUAUCAAAAGCUAAGCACGGUCCGGCCUGGUUAGUACUUGGAUGGGAGACCACCUGGGAAUACCGGGUCCUGUAGGCU
This is a ribosomal RNA of Pan troglodytes (chimpanzee), 118 nucleotides long. NCBI's taxonomy places the organism in Eukaryota, Metazoa, Chordata, Mammalia, Primates, Hominidae. The record is from Ensembl.